GUGUUGAGGAUUGUGACAUGGAGCAUUAGCUGUUGAAGAAAUUUCAGCUAGUGCUCAUGUUACAAUUCCCAUCAUU
Molecule: microRNA precursor, 76 nt
Organism: Nicotiana attenuata
Lineage: Eukaryota; Viridiplantae; Streptophyta; Magnoliopsida; Solanales; Solanaceae
Rfam family: MIR6145 microRNA precursor family
Source: Rfam